GGAUGGAUGGCUCAGAGGUUAAGAGCACUGGCUGCUCUUCCAGAGGUCCUGAGUUCAAUUCCCAGCAACCA
This 71-nucleotide transfer RNA is filed under the name Mesocricetus auratus (golden hamster). It matches the Rfam family "tRNA". Rfam says of the family: Transfer RNA (tRNA) molecules are approximately 80 nucleotides in length. Their secondary structure includes four short double-helical elements and three loops (D, anti-codon, and T loops). Lineage: Eukaryota; Metazoa; Chordata; Mammalia; Rodentia; Cricetidae. The record is from Rfam by way of RNAcentral.